AUGUGUCAGCAGCCUGCGUGGAAGCAGGAAGAAGCUGCUCGGAGGGGUAUAAAUUUGGAUGGGCAAAGCAGGCUGAGCCACCUUGAGGAGACAGCGCAAGGAGAAGAGAUCUGUUCCUUAAACGGCGGUGUCUGCAACCCCCCAGCCGCAAAAGAUGACUCUGAAGGCAGCAGCCUUGAUCCUCUGCCUUUUGGCUAUCACAGGUAACCCAGAAGGGCUCUGCUGACCCUGAUAUCUGCACUCACUCUGGUCCUAUUUCCAACUGUUGAAUUCUAAAUAUUGUUCAGUCUUUGUAAAUUCUCACUGACCCAUUUCUUGUUGCGCUGGCUGGCCAAGGCAUAGCUGGAGAAAUGCUGUAUAGCUCAGAUCUCGGAAUGUACUGAGCAAUGCUUGUCUUGCAGCUCAGGUUUAGCAAAUCAGUGUGAUUAACCUAAAAUCUUGUGAGUCGGGCACAGCAGAAUGAUUCUUUACUAAAGAGCUUUGCCCAGUUGUUACAAUUAUUAUUAUUAUUCCCUGCCCAUCUGGCUGGGUUGCCCCAGCCAUUCUGAGUGGCUUUCAACAUAUAAAAACAUAACAAAACGUCAAACAUUAAAAACUUCCUGAUACAGGGUUGCCUACAGAUGUCUUCUAAAAAUUGUGCAGUUCUUUAUCUCCUUGGCAUUUGAUGGGAGGGCGUUCCAAACGGAGGGCACCACUGCUGAGAAGGCCCUCUGCCUGGCAAUAACAUUGUUUGAGAAACCUCAAUGAACUGGCCAGGAGAAAAGCAAACCGAGAGACUGGAUUUCAGAGUGGGAGGCAGAUCAGGCUGAAACAGGGUGUCUGCUUGAAACGGAAAGGAGUACUGGCAAAUCUGGGCACCGUAGAAAGAAGCAUGUGGCUAGCCUUUCUGUGCUGGGCUGGCUACAUACAUUAAACCUGGCAGACUUGCUGAGAGGCCUCAUCUGUUUGAAGAAGUCUUGGUCCUACCCAGACUUGAUGGAUAUGUGCAUGCAUUCUUAAAGGGAAGGGUCUGUGUGGUUCUCCCAGUAUUCCCAGAAAUUAUGGGAGUUCAGCUGUGGCUUUGCUUUUUUUUUUAAUAUAAAUAAUUUUUAUUAAUUUAAAACAAAAACAAAAACACACAGUAAUUUCACAUCCAAUUUUUCACAAAGUAUUUCUUUUCUGGACUUCCUUCAGCUUUUCCAUAAAUCAUUCGUAGUCAUUAUUUAAUUUAUGCAUUUCUUAGGUUUGUAUUGUCAUUAUUUGAGCCUUUCUUUUUCUAUUCCCUUUUAACAAUACUUCUCACAUUUCACAGUGCUUCUUUAAAUCCCUCUAGCGUUAUCUGUCCCUCACUUAUACUUUCCAGACAUUCCACAAAUUUUCCCCAGUCCUCGAUGAACUUUGGGUCUCUUAGAUCUUAGCUGUGGCUUUGCAGACACGUGGGACAUUGGCAAGUGGCAGAAGAGUUGGGAUGGGAGGCUGUGAGUCGGGUCACACACAGCACCAACCUGCUCCCCCCUCAUCCUUGCAGGGUCCCAGGCCAAGAUCAACGCCGACCAGGUGGCUGACGUGA
Molecule: long non-coding RNA, 1549 nt
Filed under: Podarcis muralis (Common wall lizard)
Lineage: Eukaryota; Metazoa; Chordata; Lepidosauria; Squamata; Lacertidae
Description: lncRNA (ENSPMRG00000018648.1)
Source: RNAcentral